RNAcentral lists this ribosomal RNA (874 nucleotides) under uncultured eukaryote. RNAcentral's name for it is "SSU rRNA". It matches the Rfam family "Eukaryotic small subunit ribosomal RNA", at positions 573 to 1466 of the family's 1831-position model. The record is from RNAcentral.
GCCGCGGUAAUUCCAGCUCCAAUAGCGUAUACUAAAGUUGUUGCGGUUAAAAAGCUCGUAGUUGGAUCUUGGAAUGUGUUCAAGCGGGUCAGCUUCUGGCUGUGCGCUGCUUGACGUGUUCUUCUAUUUGGUUUUGGUGCGGUGCGCUUAACUGCGUGUCGCUCCCGGCCGAAACGUUUACCUUGAAAAAAUUAGAGUGUUCAAAGCAGACCUGUUUGAGUCUGAAUAUUCGUGCAUGGAAUAAUGAAAUAUGAAUUCGGUUCUAUUUUGUUGGUUUUCGGAACUCGAGUUAAUGAUCAAGAGGGACAGACGGGGGCAUUCGUACUCUGCCGUUAGAGGUGAAAUUCUUGGAUCGGCGGAAGACGCGCAACUGCGAAAGCAUUUGCCAAGAAUGUUUUCUUUAAUCAAGAACGAUAGUCGGAGGUUCGAAGACGAUCAGAUACCGUCCUAGUUUCGACUGUAAACUAUGCCAGCUAACGAUCAGACAGAGUUCUCUACGACUUGUCUGGCAGUUUCCGGGAAACCAAAGCGUUUGGGUUCCGGGGGAAGUAUGGUUGCAAAGCUGAAACUUAAAGGAAUUGACGGAAGGGCACCACCAGGAGUGGAGCCUGCGGCUUAAUUUGACUCAACACGGGGAAACUCACCCGGCCCGGACACAGUGAGGAUUGACAGAUUGAGAGUUCUUUCUUGAUUCUGUGGGUGGUGGUGCAUGACCGUUCUUAGUUGGUGGAGCGAUUUGUCUGGUUAAUUCCGAUAACGAACGAGACUCUGGCAUGUUAAAUAGUCGCGGAAGUGCGUAUGCACUUGCCGAAUUGACUUCUUAGAGGGACUAGUGAUUUUAAUUCACACGAGAUUGAGCAAUAACAGGUCUGUG